This 246-nucleotide ribosomal RNA is filed under the name uncultured bacterium. RNAcentral's name for it is "partial 16S ribosomal RNA". It matches the Rfam family "Bacterial small subunit ribosomal RNA", at positions 528 to 772 of the family's 1533-position model. The record is from RNAcentral.
GAGGAUCCGAGCGUUAUCCGGAUUUAUUGGGUUUAAAGGGAGCGUAGGUGGAUUGUUAAGUCAGUUGUGAAAGUUUGCGGCUCAACCGUAAAAUUGCAGUUGAAACUGGCAGUCUUGAGUACAGUAGAGGUGGGCGGAAUUCGUGGUGUAGCGGUGAAAUGCUUAGAUAUCACGAAGAACUCCGAUUGCGAAGGCAGCUCACUGGACUGUUGACUGACACUGAGGCUCGAAAGUGUGGGUAUCAAA